This 409-nucleotide long non-coding RNA is filed under the name Numida meleagris (helmeted guineafowl). RNAcentral describes it as "lncRNA (ENSNMEG00000016395.1)". Lineage: Eukaryota; Metazoa; Chordata; Aves; Galliformes; Numididae. The record is from RNAcentral.
UUUUUCUACACCCCUCUGGUGGUUGCUGGUAGCAAGCAGAGAUUUACUGGAGGAAUCAAAGAGGCUUCAAUCCUCCCACCAUCAGCAGCUGUUUGGCCCUGCAGCCUUCCUGCGUAGGACAGACUGCACCAAUCCUUGAAGUCAGUCAGCAGGAAUUGCACCCCUGGUUCCCAGGAAGCAGAGAUGAGCUGGUGCUGAGUGUCCUUGAAAAUUUGCCCUGUAUGCCCACUGGUGACGGGAAGACCUCCAAGAGUCCACUCCUGUGGCUCAUCUUUGCAGGAGAAAGAACUAAGCUGGGGACAAAGACUCUUCUGCCCUUUUCCCCAUCCCUAUCCCCUUCUCCUCCCUCCACUUCUGCAGCACCAGAAUGAAAAUCAGGCUCCUUCUCCCCUUCGUGCUUACAGAGAAA